This 1218-nucleotide long non-coding RNA is filed under the name Calidris pugnax (ruff). RNAcentral's name for it is "lncRNA (ENSCPUG00000019011.1)". Lineage: Eukaryota; Metazoa; Chordata; Aves; Charadriiformes; Scolopacidae. The record is from RNAcentral.
UAACAACAUCACCCCAAACACCAGGCGCUUCGGAAAUGUUUGUUUUACAAAGCAGGGCAGGAGCCGCUACAAAAACAUUCCCAGUUUUUAAAAGGAAAAUAUCCCCUUGUCAACAAGCGAAAACAAAGUGAAUGUGCCCGUAUCCAAAGGAGAGAGCCCUGGGAAAUGCCCUUUUCCGUGCAGGAUGGCAGGGCUGCCAGGGCCGGGGGGGACAGUGGGGACCAAUACCCCGAUGGCAGAGGGGGGACCCGUGGCAGGUGUGGGAGCACUGGGGUGCAGUGGCCCCAGCCGAGCUCCUCGCUGGUCUUCUCAGUUAUAAAUAGAAAGGCAGUCAGUUAUUAUUAGAGCUUGUUGAGUGCAUCUGGAGGAACUGCAGGAAACUCUUCCAAAUGAGCCACUUUCCAGUUGAAGCAAAGCUCCUGGGGUCAGGUCUGGAGGAGAAUGUCAGCAGGACCACCCUGAGCCUUGGAGACCGGGCCAAGCACAAGGAGCUUUGCCUUUGCACUGGGUCACGGUGGUCCCAGCGUGGCUGGGGUCGGUGCCACCCUAGGGAUGCCCUGUCCUCACCCUGCCCUGUGCACCCCUGUUUCCCAUCCCUGUGAUAACAAGGCUGGGCAUCACCAGAGGAACUUGUCUUUUAUCUCCAGCACCUUCCCCAGGACCUCGGAGGACACAGCCAGCUCCUGCACCAUCACACCACCCCGAUGCGCGGCAGGAAGCUGUUCCCCACACUGAGUAGGUGGCACAAGGAGACCUUUUCAUCACAUCUUCUGCCCCGAGACCUCUGUGGGCUCGUGGCACAGAAAGCAGAAGCUGCACACCUAGAAACCCCAGAAGGUGGCUCAGUUCUCUCGGCUCCAGCAGAAGGAACACCAUCAGAGACAGCACUACUAAGGAUUCCUUCUUCUGCCGUGCUGCAAAUGGGACAUUUGAAUGUUGUCUCCUUUCCCAAAGGUGCUGUCAGGAUGAGAACUGCAAUGAGCAUAAAGCAUUUUAAGCCUGUGCAAGCUGUGUUAUGGGGCUCUUCCCAUUACUGCCCUUAAUUCUGCUGGAAGAUGGGUAUAAAAAGAAAUAAGUAAUGAUUCAAAGCAAAGAGUUCCAGGGAUGUCAAAGGGUGCCAACAGCAGCAGGUCUGUGCUCUCUACAGCCCCUCUGCCCCAGCUCAGCCACCCCAUCCCUCCCUCCAGCAGAGCCAGGGGGAUUUCUCCCAAGAAAACC